This 539-nucleotide ribosomal RNA is filed under the name uncultured bacterium. RNAcentral's name for it is "partial 16S ribosomal RNA". It matches the Rfam family "Bacterial small subunit ribosomal RNA", at positions 28 to 523 of the family's 1533-position model. The record is from RNAcentral.
GAUGAACGCUGGCGGUGUGCCUAAUACAUGCAAGUCGUACGCAUUCUCGUUUCUGAUUGACGGUGCUUGCACCUAAUUGACGAGACAUUGGAAUGAGUGGCGGACGGGUGAGUAACACGUGGGUAACCUGCCCAGAAGCGGGGGGUAACAUUUGGAAACAGAUGCUAAUACCGCAUAAAAGUCAAAACCACAUGGUUUUGAUUUAAAAGAUGGCCUUUGUGCUAUCACUUCUGGAUGGACCCGCGGCGUAUUAGCUAGUUGGUAAGGUAAUGGCUUACCAAGGCAAUGAUACGUAGCCGAACUGAGAGGUUGAUCGGCCACAAUGGGACUGAGACACGGCCCAUACUCCUACGGGAGGCAGCAGUGGGGAAUUUUGGACAAUGGGCGCAAGCCUGAUCCAGCCACGCCGCGUGAGUGAUGAAGGCCUUCGGGUCGUAAAGCUCUGUGGGGAGGGACGAACCGCUGAACGUUCAUAGCGUUCAGCAUGACGGUACCUCCUUAGCAAGCACCGGCUAACUUCGUGCCAGCCGCCGCAGUAA